Molecule: ribosomal RNA, 468 nt
Filed under: uncultured bacterium
Lineage: Bacteria
Description: partial 16S ribosomal RNA
Rfam family: Bacterial small subunit ribosomal RNA
Source: RNAcentral
GAUGAACGCUGGCGGCGUGCUUAACACAUGCAAGUCGAACGGAAAGGCCCAAGCUUGCUUGGGUACUCGAGUGGCGAACGGGUGAGUAACACGUGGGUGAUCUGCCCUGCACUUCGGGAUAAGCCUGGGAAACUGGGUCUAAUACCGGAUAGGACGAUGGUUUGGAUGCCAUUGUGGAAAGUUUUUUCGGUGUGGGAUGAGCUCGCGGCCUAUCAGCUUGUUGGUGGGGUAAUGGCCUACCAAGGCGUCGACGGGUAGCCGGCCUGAGAGGGUGUACGGCCACAUUGGGGCUGCGAUACGGCCCAGACUCCUACGGGAGGCAGCAGUGGGGAAUAUUGCACAAUGGGCGCACGCCUGAUGCAGCGACGCCGCGUGGGGGCUGACGGCCUUCGGGUUGUACACUCCCUUCGCUAGGGACGAAGCGUUUUUGUGACGGUACCUGGAGAAGAAGCACCGGCUAACUACGUG